AACGAACGCUGGCGGCAUGCCUAACACAUGCAAGUCGAACGAGACCUUCGGGUCUUGUGGCGCAUGGGUGCGUAACGCGUGGGAACCUGCCCUUAGGUUCGGAAUAACUACCCGAAAGGGGUGCUAAUACCGGACAAUGUCUUCGGCCCAAAGAUUUAUCGCAUUUGGAUGGGCCCGCGUUGGAUUAGCUAGUUGGUAGGGUAAAAGCCUACCAAGGCGACGAUCCAUAGCUGGUCUGAGAGGAUGGUCAGCCACACUGGGACUGAGACACGGCCCAGACUCCUACGGGAAGCAGCAGUGGGGAAUAUUGGACAAUGGGCGAAAGCCUGAUCCAGCAAUGCCGCGUGAGUGAUGAAGGCCGUAGGGUUGUAAAGCUCUUUUAACCGGGAUGAUAAUGACAGUACCGGGAGAAUAAGCUCCGGCUAACUCCGUG
RNAcentral lists this ribosomal RNA (433 nucleotides) under uncultured bacterium. RNAcentral describes it as "partial 16S ribosomal RNA". It matches the Rfam family "Bacterial small subunit ribosomal RNA", at positions 29 to 507 of the family's 1533-position model. The record is from RNAcentral.